AGUGAACGCUGGCGGCAGGCCUAACACAUGCAAGUCGAACGGCAGCACAGAGGAGCUUGCUCCUUGGGUGGCGAGUGGCGGACGGGUGAGGAAUACAUCGGAAUCUGCCCAGUCGUGGGGGAUAACAUAGGGAAACUUAUGCUAAUACCGCAUACGACCUACGGGUGAAAGCGGGGGAUCGCGAGACCUCGCGCGAUUGGAUGAGCCGAUGUCCGAUUAGCUAGUUGGCGGGGUAAUGGCCCACCAAGGCGACGAUCGGUAGCUGGUCUGGGAGGAUGAUCAGCCACACUGGAACUGAGACACGGUCCAGACUCCUACGGGAGGCAGCAGUGGGGAAUAUUGGACAAUGGGCGCAAGCCUGAUCCAGCCAUGCCGCGUGGGUGAAGAAGGCC
This 392-nucleotide ribosomal RNA is filed under the name uncultured bacterium. Its description in RNAcentral is "bacterial SSU rRNA". It matches the Rfam family "Bacterial small subunit ribosomal RNA", at positions 30 to 416 of the family's 1533-position model. The record is from RNAcentral.